AUGGUGUUUGGGGGCGGAGAUUGGCCUCCCGUGCUUUUGGUGUGGUUGGCCUAAAUAGGAGUCCCCUUUGGUGGAUACACGGCUAGUGGUGGUUGUAUAGACCCUCGUCUUGUGCUGUGUAUUGCGAGCCUUAUGGGAAACUCUCAUCAAUGACCCAAUGUAUCGUCUUCUGACGAUGCUUCGACCGCGACCCCAGGUCAGGCGGGACUACCCGCUGAU
This 219-nucleotide ribosomal RNA is filed under the name Sedum japonicum. Its description in RNAcentral is "partial 28S ribosomal RNA". The record is from RNAcentral. Lineage: Eukaryota; Viridiplantae; Streptophyta; Magnoliopsida; Saxifragales; Crassulaceae.